Micropterus dolomieu (smallmouth bass) is the source of this 1592-nucleotide RNA transcript. It is a transcript of the gene named molybdenum cofactor synthesis 3, with no coding region annotated. The transcript is spliced from 13 exons. The record is from RefSeq and is a predicted model, not a curated record. Lineage: Eukaryota; Metazoa; Chordata; Actinopteri; Centrarchiformes; Centrarchidae.
CCGGAAGUUUGUGCCGUGUGCUUCACAUGUCAACAUGUUGCUGUCCCACAGUUACAUUGCAUCUAAAUCAGAAUUGUUGAAUCGUUUUUGAUACAUAGUCUGGAUAUAUAUAUUUUGCAACUGCACGUGUUUUCUUUGUGCCAGCAGCCAUGGCCCAAGAGGUGUGCUGCUUGAAGGCAAAGCUCAAGGAAAAAGAGAAAGAGAUUGCUGCUCUGAAGAGUAAACUGGCACAACUGGAAAAGAGCCAUACUUCAGUCCUGGAGCUGUAUGACAAAGUGACGCCCCUGAGCCCUCUGAGAGCCAAACCAGCCCUCAGCAAUGAGGACAUCAUGCGGUACAGCAGACAGCUCCUUCUGCCUGAGCUGGGUCCACAAGGUCAGCUAAACUUAGCCAAGACCUCAGUGCUGAUUGUGGGCUGUGGAGGACUGGGCUGCCCCCUGGCACAGUAUCUUGCAGCAGCAGGUAUCGGGCGCCUGGGCCUACUGGAUUAUGACGAGGUGGAGCUCAGUAACCUGCACAGACAGGUGCUCCAUGGGGAGCAGAAUCAGGGCCAGGCCAAGGCUCUGUCUGCUGCCAAUGCAGUUAAAAGGUUGAACUCGACAGUAGAGUGUAUUCCCUACCACCUGCAGCUCUCACCAGAGAACGCCUUGCAACUCAUUCAACAAUAUGACAUUGUGGCUGAUUGUUCAGACAAUGUCCCCACUCGUUAUCUGGUGAAUGACGCAUGUGUGCUCAGUGGCAAGCCUCUGGUGUCAGCUAGUGCCCUGAGAAUGGAGGGGCAGCUGACAGUAUAUAACUACUGUGGAGGCCCCUGCUACAGAUGUCUGUACCCCGUACCUCCACCCCCAGAGACAGUGACCAACUGUUCUGACGGAGGGGUAUUAGGAGUGGUUCCAGGGAUAAUGGGCUGCUUCCAAGCUUUGGAAGUCCUCAAGAUUGCCUCCGGACAAGGCUCUUCCUGUGGCCAUCAGUUGGUGAUGUUUGACGCUCAAAAUGCCAGAUUCAGGACCAUCAAGUUGCGGCCCAAACAGGCCGGAUGUGCAGUGUGUGGAGAGAACCCCAGUGUAACCCAGUUGGUGGACUAUGAGGCGUUCUGUGGGUCCGCUGCCACAGAUAAGUGCCGCAAACUCAACCUCCUUUCCAGAGAUCAGAGGAUCACAGUACAGGAUUAUAAAUCAGUACUGGACAACGCAGAGCCCCAUCUCUUGUUGGAUGUGCGCCCUCUUGUGGAGGUGGAUAUAUGCCACUUACCUUUCUCCCUCAGUAUCCUUUUUGUGACAGAGACAUUCCACUCUUGAGUUUAGAGGAGAGGAAGAGUGAGCAUUUUCUAUUACUUCAGGAGAGAAUCAGCCAAUUAAAACAGCAGAUGGCUGGUGACUGCCGGCCUCCAGUGUAUGUGAUCUGUAAGCUGGGUAACGACUCUCAGAAGGCGGUGCAGGUUCUGGAGAAGAUGAGUGGAUCAGAAGUGGACAGUAUCACAGUGAAAGACAUCUGUGGAGGCCUCAUGGCCUGGGCAAAAAGGAUAGACCCCACGUUUCCACAGUAUUAAAGUAUUUUCAAAUGCUUUUCUGUUAAUAAACUCUGAAUUCUCA